Molecule: long non-coding RNA, 869 nt
Organism: Myotis brandtii (Brandt's bat)
Lineage: Eukaryota; Metazoa; Chordata; Mammalia; Chiroptera; Vespertilionidae
Exons: 3
Source: RefSeq, a predicted model, not a curated record
ACACACACACACACACACACACUCACACACAAUUAAUUAGUCUUCUAAUUAGAGUAAUUUUAAAACAAAAAAAUCGCAAUAAAAAUAAAUAAACAAACAGAAUUCCUUUUAGUCAGCUGAUUUAUUAGAAAAUCCAAAAGUGAAACCACUUUUUUACAUCCUUCUUGGUGUAUAAAUUCAGGCACCUCCACCACAGCCAGAGCCCAAGUCUCAGCUGGAGGUCAGAGUCAGCAGCUUACCAGGCUCUGGGAAGGAACCUCCUCUCCAUGCAGGGCUCUCUGGAGUGACCUGAAGACAGGAACUUGACCUCAAGGAAAUAGGAUCAUUGCAGUGAAGGGAAGGAGGCUAUUGCGAUGUGGAAAACAACCCAGCCAUAGAGCUGCAAGCAUCUCACAGGCCACGAAGAAAGGAACUGUCUUCACAGGGAAGGACCAACAAGGUCCUGCUGGGAAGAACAGAUAUUUACCCCGAAAGUGGGCUUGCUGGAUAAUUCAAUUUGAUAGACACUGGAAAAGGUUGGACAUGGCAAGAAGAGUCUAUGCAGCUCAUGAUUAGCACCAGAAUCACAACUCUUCAAACACAUAUUCUCUAACCACCUGAUGGAAAGUAGCCUCAAGUUACUCUCUGUCCUACUACCUGCUUAUUUCUUUCUUAGCGCUUAAUGCAAUCUGAAGUUAUUUUGCUUAUUUGAGUAUUUACAAGUUUAUGGUCUGCUUACUCCCACUCUCGAAGGGCAGGGAUCUAACCUAUCUUAUUCAAUUAUCCUACAGCACCUAGAGCAUUCCCCACUUUGCUGACAUCCCUCAAAAAUAUGUGUGGAAUAAAGACUGGUAUUUUAAACCUAUCUUUGCUAACCCUCAGAUACAUAG